Long non-coding RNA from Tachysurus fulvidraco (yellow catfish), 1285 nucleotides. RefSeq lists it as uncharacterized. The transcript is spliced from 4 exons. Lineage: Eukaryota; Metazoa; Chordata; Actinopteri; Siluriformes; Bagridae. The record is from RefSeq and is a predicted model, not a curated record.
ACACAAGCGAGAGAGAGGGGGUGUUGACUUACCUGGUUGUUUGCUCACCUGUUGUUGUUUUGCCUUUGUUUAUUUCUAAUUCUGUGUUUAGUUAUUGUGUGUUAAGUUGUUCGCUUUGUGAACUGUUCUAUACAGUCAUCGAGGUCUAUGCUGUGACUCGACUUUCAGUUUAACGGUGCCUAUUCCAUUCCUUCUCCGAUAAAUAGUGAUUGGGACCAGGUUAGUUUGUCACGUGACUUGCACGCAGAGCGAAACUGUUUAGACACACUAGGUUAUGAGCGGAUGCCAAUCCUUGUACUUCUGUUAUUAGGCAGCGUAGUUAGUGGCGUUCUACGCUGAAGAUGUUGCUUUCCUGUUUUCUUUUGUUAGUUAAGUAUUUGUACCUGAGAUUUAGUUGAUGUGUUUGUUUUAUUGAGUUAUUUUCUUUAGCACCGCUCUUGUCCCUCACUUUCUUUUUUGUGUUUGUAUAUAGUUUGUAAAUACACACGCUCGACCAGACUCAGCUUCUGUCUCUGCCUGUUUACUUGAACACACACCACAAUUUACCAAUUGAACGGAGGCUUUCUUAGGACCGCUUUUUUUUUUUUUUUAAAUAACUAAGUUUUCACGUGUUACGUCCGCAUAUCCUCUAGACCCAUAGCAGGACGUAACAGUUUUAUCGAUCAGUCAUGUCUGAAUUAGUAUCUGAUUAUGCAAACUACGUUGAGACGAGAGGACCGCGUACAGAGAGGGUGGUGGAAAUCUUUAAGAAUGCUGAGAGAGGCCAUAACCUUAAAGAGGAGAAAAUCAACAAUAAGAAAAGCAUACAGACUGGACAAACAGGAUUCAAAGCAGGGGGCAGAUGUUAAACUGACUGCAGUGUGUGUGCUGCUGCUUUAUGUUCUCUUGCUGACUGCCAUCACAGUGCUGUGGAUCCAAAACAACAAGCUGAAUAGAGAAAAAGCUCAGUUACAGACCAAUUACAGCAACCUGAAUAUAGAGAGAGACCACUUACAGACCAGAUUAUACAACAUGAAAAAUGAGGAGAACCAGUUAAAAUUUCAGAAAGACCAGCUACUGAGCCAUAAAUACCAGUUAGAGUUGGAAAGAAACCAGUUACAGAAUCAAAGACAUCAAGACUGAAGAAAAUAAUUUUAAUCCUUGGAUGGAGAUUUUUCAACAAGAGCAUUUACAACAUUUCUACUGUUAAGAAGAGCUGGGAGGAAACCAGACAGGACUGUAUAGAGAGAGGAGCAGAUCUGGAGUUCAUCAGUAAAAAUUUUGCUGGUACUGAAGCUUGGAUUGG